GGGACCCGCUCAGCCACUUCAAGGCCCUCCUCUCUGUCCUUACUUGCUUUGUCCCGCAGUAUCUUCCGGCUCUGGCGAAACUUGGAGCAUAUGUAAAAAGGAACCACUGAAAAAUGUGCUUGCAUUUGAAUGGGAAACCCAAAUGUUAAAGAAAAAGAAAAGGACAUGCCAGAACAACCAAGCAACCUGGCUGGGAACAUCCAAAAAUAAAAGAAGAGGUAAAAUAUUAAGAUUUCGGAACAGCCCCGGGUUGGGCGCCAUUGUGAGUAAGUUCUGGGUUCAUAUCCGGCUGUUCCUGUCCUUGGGUCAAAAACGAUAAAGCAGAAUUUUGAAUAAAAGAAUUU
Long non-coding RNA from Pogona vitticeps (central bearded dragon), 344 nucleotides. RefSeq lists it as uncharacterized. NCBI's taxonomy places the organism in Eukaryota, Metazoa, Chordata, Lepidosauria, Squamata, Agamidae. The record is from RefSeq and is a predicted model, not a curated record.